RNAcentral lists this ribosomal RNA (301 nucleotides) under uncultured bacterium. RNAcentral's name for it is "partial 16S ribosomal RNA". It matches the Rfam family "Bacterial small subunit ribosomal RNA", at positions 509 to 807 of the family's 1533-position model. The record is from RNAcentral.
CAGCCGCCGCGGUAACACGUAGGGUGCGAGCGUUAAUCGGAAUUACUGGGCGUAAAGCGUGCGCAGGCGGUUUUGUAAGACAGGCGUGAAAUCCCCGGGCUCAACCUGGGAAUGGCGCUUGUGACUGCAAAGCUAGAGUGCGGCAGAGGGGGAUGGAAUUCCGCGUGUAGCAGUGAAAUGCGUAGAUAUGCGGAGGAACACCGAUGGCGAAGGCAAUCCCCCGGGCCUGCACUGACGCUCAUGCACGAAAGCGUGGGGAGCAAACAGGAUUAGAUACCCCCGUAGUCCCUGUCUCUUAUAC